AAUAUUGAGACAGUGGUGCGCAACGCUGAUCAGCCAUACCGCGUGGAGUGAAGAAGGCCUUCAGGGUUGUAAAGCCCUUUUGUUGGGAAAGAAAUCCAGCCGGCUAAUACCUGGUUGGGAUGACGGUACCCAAAGAAUAAGCACCGGCUAACUUCGUGCCAGCAGCCGCGGUAAUA
This 176-nucleotide ribosomal RNA is filed under the name uncultured bacterium. RNAcentral's name for it is "partial 16S ribosomal RNA". It matches the Rfam family "Bacterial small subunit ribosomal RNA", at positions 359 to 525 of the family's 1533-position model. The record is from RNAcentral.